AACGAACGCUGGCGGCAUGCCUAACACAUGCAGGUCGAACGAGACCUUCGGGUCUAGUGGCGCACGGGUGCGUAACGCGUGGGAACCUGCCCUUAGGUUCGGAAUAACUCCCCGAAAGGGGUGCUAAUACCGGAUAAUGUCUUCGGACCAAAGAUUUAUCGCCUUUGGAUGGGCCCGCGUUGGAUUAGCUAGUUGGUAGGGUAAAAGCCUACCAAGGCGACGAUCCAUAGCUGGUCUGAGAGGAUGAUCAGCCACACUGGGACUGAGACACGGCCCAGACUCCUACGGGAGGCAGCAGUGGGGAAUAUUGGACAAUGGGCGAAAGCCUGAUCCAGCAAUGCCGCGUGAGUGAUGAAGGCCUUAGGGUUGUAAAGCCCUUUUACCCGGGAUGAUAAUGACAGUACCGGGAGAAUAAGCUCCGGCUAACUCCGUG
Molecule: ribosomal RNA, 433 nt
Filed under: uncultured bacterium
Lineage: Bacteria
Description: partial 16S ribosomal RNA
Rfam family: Bacterial small subunit ribosomal RNA
Source: RNAcentral